Molecule: long non-coding RNA, 1203 nt
Organism: Dioscorea cayenensis subsp. rotundata (Guinea yam)
Lineage: Eukaryota; Viridiplantae; Streptophyta; Magnoliopsida; Dioscoreales; Dioscoreaceae
Exons: 7
Source: RefSeq, a predicted model, not a curated record
CAUCCGCUCCUCAUCCUCUCCCUCUCUCGAGACUCCGACAAGCCGCCUCCAUCUCCGCAGCCGAUCGUGACGCCGACGACUGCCAGGCCGCCUUCCUCAUCCUCUCCUCCUCCACUUGGAUCCGAUCGGCGACAAUCAUCACCAUUGUUGCCAUUUCGAGGAUUUCAGUGAUCUUGGAGCGUGGUGAUUUCUCUCGGUGACAAGGGAUUCAUGGCUUUUUAUCUCUUUUGCAAAAGGCUUUCCAUGUGAAGAGCCGGCCUACAAUUGGUCAGUUUGGGUGUUUGAGUUUGCAGCGUGCUUGGUGGAAGAGGGGGCUCUUUGUAAUUUGCUGACAGAGCAGUAGUUACAGAGGACGGAGCUCUAAUGUUGAUGGAAAAUUAAAUUUCUGCAAAAUCUAUGAACUAGCAUACCAAAGAGGUUGUUUAUAAUUGUAAACCCAUUUGGUGGGAAGAAGGUGGCACCAGAAAUAUUCCAAAACGAAGUCAUCCAGGUUGUGAACCAUCAUACCCAACACCGGAAUGCAUUAAAAGGUGCCAGGAUAAGAACCUGCUCUGGGAAAAGACUAAGCAUUUUGGUCUCAGUGCUUACAGAGUAAACUCCGAUCCACAUGAUAUCAUGGCGGAGCUUUUUAAAAACGGUCCUAUUGAAGUUGCUUUUACGGUUUAUGAGCUUCUAGCCAACCAAUGGAACAGAGGAUGGGGUGAUGUAUGUCCUUCAAACAGAUCUCUCUUGUCAUGCAAGGUGCCCUCUCUUGAAGUGAGUCAAAGGCCAGAUGGCAACCAAGGCUGUAGUUCUCGGAUUGAAACUUUCAGGUUCAGGCGUCUUCAUCUACUGACAUGACUUCAGUACAAACGAUGUUACCUACAUUAAAUGAGGGAAGUGCCAUUAAUCAAAUAGAUCAUUCUACACGACAAACUGAAGAUUUCCUACAACAGCCGUUGAUUAACACUCAAGCACAAAAAGAGUACUUAAUGUUCAUUAUAUGAAUUUCUGGGGAAGAGACCCUGUUUUCGGCCAUCGAAAUAAUCUAAUUAAAAUUUUUGUUCUGCAAAUGUUAUCAGCCUGGAUCUUGUUUGUUCCCCAGCAACAAGGCUGCAAUACUGAAUUUUAAUGGUGCAUGUGGAAUGGAGUUUUAAUGUUGUUUUGAUACAAGUGUUUGUAUAGUUAUACUACAUGAUUUCCAAUGUAUAUAUAGGGCAUCUA